UCCAAAAUCAUAUAACAUCAGUAAUAGAAAUAAAUAAACUUCCAUUAAACAAUCAAGUUUCACAAAAGGUUUGUAAGGAAACAAAAAUAAUCGAAUAGAAAAUACUUAUUAACGAAAUAUCGAUCUUUUUGCUUCUUUUCCUUCAAAUCACUACUUAAACUUAUGUAGUCAAGUUUUUCAAAAAUAACAGUCUCAACUAACUAUCAUUAAGAUUGGUGAACACAAAAGAAGAGCAAACUCGUAACGACUCGUAAUAAUGUCAACACGUGAUACUGCUCUCAUCAUAAUUUUUUAGUUUUUAUAAAAAUUUAGAAAUUAAUAAAUUAGUCACGUAUCUCUCGUCAAUACGAAGAUUAUGAUCUAAGAAUUGAAGCAAUAGAAAAUAAAUUGGGAAAAUGGCAGAAAAUAAAGAGACAACACGAAAAACAUUUAGUAGCUAACUUUUAAUUAGGGUUUUAGUUGUCUAAAAUAGAAAUUAACAAAUAUAUUUGUUAAUACAAGUUUAUAAAUAUUGCUAAAGGAUCCGACAAAUGUUUAUUCUGAUUAAUUAUUCCCACAAAUAUUGUUUUAGCUAAGAAAACCUUACAAAUCUUAAUUAUUUGUAAAAAGCAAAAAAAAAAAAAAACUAAAAUAUGUCCCAUUAACAACAAAAACAUAUGCUCUUGUAAAAUUUUCUGCCCUAAGCCAUAGCUUCACCCGCUUAUGCCAUAGACCAGCCCUGGCGGCCAAUCGGGCAACAAAGAAGAAGUAGGAAAGGAAUUAUAAGAGAGCGAUGAAUUUCACCUAAACUUACCUCCUUAUUUAUAGGUUAGAAUUAUAGCUCACCAAUUGACUUAACGUAUUUACUAAAUGCUAUACAAUAGCCAUUGUUAUUUGGGCAUUAAAAAGGCCUUACAAAAGUUGGUAUAUAUAACAAGUAAUAGAAACUCAAGAGAAUGUAAAUUAUCCUUUCUUUUGUUGAAACUCGAGAGAAUGUAGAUUAUCCUUUCUUUUGCUGCAAGAGAUAUUUUGUUAUCUAUUGUAGGCUUUCAAAGCAAGAUAUAAGGUAAAGUGGACUAGGCUUAAAAUAGACAAACCCAAGGAAAAGCUUACAGAGAAAAAAUAAUAUGUUAGUCUUAAUAACCAAAUAAUUAUUACCUGUAAGGUUUUUCAUUCACACAACCAUAAUGUUACGGGAGGGCAGGUCCAGUUAAAUCGAACUGAAUAGAACUAAUUUUCAUGUGGUUUAAGGAAAAAGAAAAAUCCAUGUGGUUUGAGAUAUUUCUUGUUUGAUCCAUGUCUUUAAAACUACAAUUCAAAAGAUAAAAAACCACUAAAACUUGGUCACAGAAAAAAAAAACCUUUGAGAGAAAACCCUAGAGCUACCGCAAGAGAAAAAGAGUGUUCAUUGGUCUUACCUUCUCCGGUAUCCGGCGACCUUCGUCCGUGCUGUGAGAAGGUCCUUAGUCUAGUAUAGUGUCGUUUGUAGGCUGAGAAGAGGCUUCCAAGAAACAGGGGAGUUGGAGAUAAGGGACUCGAUGUCGAUCUCUUCCUGUCGAUUGCUUAGGCUGAUUGACUACAUCCGAAGCUUUUUCUGCUGUGCAGUGCAGGUUAUACCGGCUAUGAUGUGGGGUGGUACUUCUUCCAUCGGUUCAGGUUUUCCGGAUUACUUGGUAAGGAAUUGUGGAGCCAUAGCUCAAUUGCAUGCAAUCUUUGAGUAGUUAAUUACCAACCGCGUCUUCUUUAGCUGCUCGGGUUGAAGAUUGGUUCUAUGUGGCUUCUUGUAGAGGAAGAAAUUUUAUGUGUGGUGGUUGAACGUGCUGCACUGGUGAAAACGUUAUAGGAGAUCAUCUUCCAACUCAGAUAAUUAAGCUUGCAUCGCUUUUUCUUUCAUAUAUGCUUUCGGCCGUUUAGCUUUUCCAUUUUUGAAAUUCUUCGCUUAUCUCCCUAUGCUCCUUAUCAACUUCUCUUCUUCUUUUAGUUUAGCGUAUGUUUUAGUGGAUGUAUCAAACUUUGUCUCCGGAUGGUGCAUAUCACCAUGCUGGCUUAUGGUUCCGGAAAGGUUCCAACACUUUUGUUGGCUUUGUGAA
Long non-coding RNA from Brassica napus (rape), 2069 nucleotides. RefSeq lists it as uncharacterized. The record is from RefSeq and is a predicted model, not a curated record. NCBI's taxonomy places the organism in Eukaryota, Viridiplantae, Streptophyta, Magnoliopsida, Brassicales, Brassicaceae. The transcript has 2 exons.